This 673-nucleotide long non-coding RNA is filed under the name Marmota monax (woodchuck). Lineage: Eukaryota; Metazoa; Chordata; Mammalia; Rodentia; Sciuridae. The record is from RNAcentral.
GGAAGCUUCUGCCCCUUCUACUUCUAGGAAGCCUCUGUCCUUUGUGACCCAAGGCCAAGGUCACAUUCCUUGAUUACAUCACAAUUAAGAAUUUCCAUUUUUGUGAUGAAAUCAUGAACUCGUAAUUAAAAGGCAAAUAACCGCUUAAAAAUAUAUCUAAAAAGUCAAAACCUGAUGUAGUUAAAAUAUUUAAAUGAUACAAGGAACUUUUGCAAAUUAAUUUUUAAAAGCAACACAAGAACCCCAAUAGAUAAAUGGGCAAAGACUCUGAAUAGUUCACGAGAUGAGAAACUCAAAAUAAUAAACAAAGGAAGAAAGGCUCGGACUCAUUUAAUUGGAGAUAUAAAAUAAGAACUAUGAUGAAUUAUGGGAUAGUUUAGAUCUCAAACCUCCCAAUCACCCAUAUGUUAGAGGCUUGAUCCCCAGCCUGUGACACUACCAGGAGGUGGUGGGAUCUUCAGGAAGAAGGGUCUCAUCGAAGGAAGUGAGGUCAUUGAAGACAUGCCCUUGAACGGGGCUGUGGUCCCUUCCUCUCUCCCCUUUGCUUCUUGGUUUCCCUGGGGCGAGCAGUCAUCCUCUACCAUGUGCUCCUGCCGUGGUGUACUGUGCCACCACAGGCCCAAAGCAAUGGAACCAAGUGACCAGAAUGAAUCUUGGAAACCACAAACCAAAA